This 682-nucleotide ribosomal RNA is filed under the name uncultured eukaryote. RNAcentral's name for it is "SSU rRNA". It matches the Rfam family "Eukaryotic small subunit ribosomal RNA", at positions 608 to 1295 of the family's 1831-position model. The record is from RNAcentral.
AGUUGUUGCGGUUAAAAAGCUCGUAGUUGGAUUUCUGUUGAGGACGGCCGGUCCGCACUAUGUGCGUGUAUCUGGUUCGGCCUUGGCAUCCUCUUGAGGAACGUUCCUGCGCUUGAUUGCGUGGGGCGGUAUUCAAGACUUUUACUUUGAGGAAAUUAGAGUGUUCACGGCAGGCAAGCGCCUUGAAUACAUUAGCAUGGAAUAAUAAUAUAGGAUCUUGGUUCUAUUUGUUGGUUUCUAGGGCUAAGGUAAUGAUUAAUAGGGAUAAUUGGGGGCAUUUGUAUUAACGCGUCAGAGGUGGAAUUCUUGGAUUGCGUUACGACAAACUACUGCGAAAGCAUUUGCCAAGGAUGUUUUCAUUGAUCAAGAACGAAAGUAUGGGGAUCGAAGAUGAUUAGAUACCGUCGUAGUCUAUACCAUAAACUAUGCCGACUAGGGAUUGGAGGUCGUUCUUUUUAUGACUCCUUCAGCACCUUAUGAGAAAUCAAAGUCUUUGGGUUCCGGGGGGAGUAUAGUCGCAAGGCUGAAACUUAAAGGAAUUGACGGAAGGGCACCACCAGGAGUGGAGCCUGCGGCUUAAUUUGACUCAACACGGGGAAACUCACCAGGUCCAGACAUAGUAAGGAUUGACAGAUUGAUAGCUCUUUCUUGAUUCUAUGGGUGGUGGUGCAUGGCCGUUCUU